This 1873-nucleotide unclassified non-coding RNA is filed under the name Actinia tenebrosa (Australian red waratah sea anemone). RNAcentral's name for it is "4-coumarate--CoA ligase 1-like, transcript variant X2". The record is from RNAcentral. Lineage: Eukaryota; Metazoa; Cnidaria; Anthozoa; Actiniaria; Actiniidae.
AUGAGGGCUUUAUAUGCUUUAGACUAUUUGCAACGCUACAAUUCAUAUACAACAGCUCUACAGCAAAGGCCUUAUUAACAAAAACUUGUAUUACCUUUGUACCAUGUUGCUGAAUAGGGACCCUGGGUGCAUCGGAGCGUUUUGACUAGACUCAGUAGGACCUGUCGAAUAUCUUUAGGCUUGUCGCGUUUUUCGUCGUGAUCGGUGACUCCAAGUAAUGGAAAAAGUAAGAACCUCAUUGACCCAUGACCAUUCAAUUGGAUUCAUAAGUAGAGUCGAGAUGCUUCUCAAUAAAAGACAUUUUAUGCAAAGGACAAUAAAUUUAGGCCAAAAAGUAUUCGAAAAUGUCUAUCAUAGUGUAUUACUCGUGCAAAGGCUCAACUUUCAUUAUUCAAGUCAACGUUUAUCGUUAAACUCGACAGACAAAAGAAUCAUUCGUUCUUCGUCUCCCGAUAUCCACAUUCCGAACAAGACUUACAUCGAAUUUAUUUUGGAACAUUGUGAACGUCAUGGGGAGAAACAUGCUAUUGCUGAUUACAUGAAUGAAAAGUUAUUUACAUACAAUGACGUCCAUGAUCUUGUAAAGAAAUGUGGAUCAGCCUUCAAACGCAUGGGUAAAAACCAGAAAGAUGUUGUCGCCCUCUUCAUGCCCAACAUACCUGAAUAUCCUAUAGCACUAUAUGGCAUCCAAGUUGCCGGUGGAACUGUAACUACAGUGAAUCCAACGUAUACUGCAGAUGAACUUGCAUAUCAGUUGAAUGACACUGGUGCAAAAUACCUCGUUUCAUCUUUGGAACUCUUACCCAAGGCAAGAGAAGCUACGUCUAAAGUAAAGUUAUCUAUGGACAAUGUUCUUGAUAUUGAUACCUUGUGGAAUCUGAUUCUGAGCGAUGACGGCUCUUAUUUACCUAACAUCCACAGCACAAAGACACCAAGUGAAGAUGUAGUUAAUCUUGCUUACUCUAGUGGAACGACAGGUCUUCCAAAGGGGGUCAUGUUGACUAGUACAAACUACAUCUCACAAGCCGUUAUUAUGGCUUGUGAGAGAUUCAUGCCCAAACGACCUGAGAUACCUCAAGAAAUAAUAUUAGCGUUUCUGCCAUUUUUCCAUGCUUAUGGACUUGCUUAUAUUAUGGGAGUACACUUUUACCUUGGAUCUAAGCUCAUCUGUUUGCCGAAGUUUGAACCAGAGCUAUUUCUAGAUGCCAUCGAAAAGCACAAGGUUACUUUCCUGCCUCUAGUUCCACCAAUUGUAUUAUUUCUAACCAAACAUCCCAUGGUUGAGAAGUAUGACUUAUCAUCUGUAAAGUAUAUUGUGUGUUCAGCAGCCCAUCUGUCAGGCGAACUGGAGAAAACACUGCUGAAAAGGUUCCCCAAUGUCUGUUCUGUACAGCAAGGAUAUGGUCUGACAGAGACAGGAGGAGGGACCAUGGUCAAUCCAUUAGACAAACCACCUACUAAAAGUGGAUCCAUUGGGAUUUUGCUUCCCAACACAGAAGCUAAAUUUUUUAAAGGUAGGAUCAAAAAAGCUUCCCAGAAUUUCUUUCGUUUGCACAUGUGAAAAGCUCUGUUAUUACCUGACUUUCUUGAGUUGAGGCGAGAAAUAUGGACCUCCCCCUCUUCUCCCCCUGUCACAAGACUUGACGUGCCUCUGAUACAUGCACGAAAUCAGGUAGGUGAGUUAUCUUUGUUUGUUUGUUUGUUUGUGUAUGUGUUUUUUUAGGUAAAAGAUUUACAAUCUGGUAAAGCGCUUGGACCAGGCGAAGAUGGUGAAAUAUGCUUAAGGGGACCUGGUAUUACAAAAGGUUACUUGAAUAACCCGGAGCAAAUUGCACAAGCCAUUGACCAGGACGGCUGGCUUCACACGGGAGAC